UAGGGUAUGCGGAGACUCUAGUCAUCCCAGA
This 31-nucleotide non-coding RNA is filed under the name Homo sapiens (human). The record is from RNAcentral. Lineage: Eukaryota; Metazoa; Chordata; Mammalia; Primates; Hominidae.